CCGGCUACCAUGCAGUCGAGGGGUAACAGGGGAGAGCUUGCUCUUUCGCUGACGACCGGCGCACGGGUGCGUAACGCGUAUACAACCUACCUUUUGGAGGGGAAUAGCCCAGGGAAACUUGGAUUAAUGCCCCAUAGUAUGGGAAUAUCUCCUGAUAUUUUCAUUAAACAUUUAUGGCCAUUAGAUGGGUAUGCGUCCUAUUAGUUAGUUGGUAAGGUAACGGCUUACCAAGGCAGCGAUAGGUAGGGGUCCUGAGAGGGAGAUCCCCCACACUGGUACUGAGACACGGACCAGACUCCUACGGGAGGCAGCAGUGAGGAAUAUUGGACAAUGGGCGAGAGCCUGAUCCAGCCAUGCCGCGUGCAGGAAGACUGCCCUAUGGGUUGUAAACUGCUUUUACAGAGGAAGAACCACUCCCACGUGUGGGAGUUUGACGGUACUCUGCGAAUAAGGAUCGGCUAACUCCGUGCCAGCAGCCGCGGUAAUACGGAGGAUCCAAGCGUUAUCCGGAAUCAUUGGGUUUAAAGGGUCCGUAGGCGGGCAGUUAAGUCAGUGGUGAAAGUCUUCCGCUCAACGGGAGAACUGCCAUUGAUACUGAUUGUCUUGAGUUAUUAUGAAGUGGUUAGAAUGAGUAGUGUAGCGGUGAAAUGCAUAGAUAUUACUCAGAAUACCGAUUGCGAAGGCAGAUCACUAAUAAUAUACUGACGCUGAUGGACGAAAGCGUAGGUAGCGAACAGGAUUAGAUACCCUGGUAGUCUACGCCGUAAACGAUGGUUACUAGCUGUUCGGCCCGAUUAAGGGCUGAGUGGUUAAGCGAAAGUGAUAAGUAACCCACCUGGGGAGUACGUUCGCAAGAAUGAAACUCAAAGGAAUUGACGGGGGCCCGCACAAGCGGUGGAGCAUGUGGUUUAAUUCGAUGAUACGCGAGGAACCUUACCAGGGCUUAAAUGUAGUCUGACAGGAGUGGAAACACUUUUUUCUUCGGACAGAUUACAAGGUGCUGCAUGGUUGUCGUCAGCUCGUGCCGUGAGGUGUCAGGUUAAGUCCUAUAACGAGCGCAACCCCUGUGGUUAGUUGCCAGCGAGUAAUGUCGGGAACUCUAGCCAGACUGCCGGUGCAAACCGCGAGGAAGGUGGGGAUGACGUCAAAUCAUCACGGCCCUUACGUCCUGGGCCACACACGUGCUACAAUGGUAGGGACAGAGAGCAGCCACUUCGCGAGAAGGAGCGAAUCUACAAACCCUAUCACAGUUCGGAUCGCAGUCUGCAACUCGACUGCGUGAAGCUGGAAUCGCUAGUAAUCGCAUAUCAGCCAUGAUGCGGUGAAUACGUUCCCGGGCCUUGUACACACCGCCCGUCAAGCCAUGGAAGCCGGGGGUACCUGAAGUCGGUCACCGCAAGGAGCCGCCUAGGAAGU
This 1416-nucleotide ribosomal RNA is filed under the name Roseobacter sp. R18-15. RNAcentral describes it as "bacterial SSU rRNA". It matches the Rfam family "Bacterial small subunit ribosomal RNA". The record is from RNAcentral. Lineage: Bacteria; Pseudomonadati; Pseudomonadota; Alphaproteobacteria; Rhodobacterales; Roseobacteraceae.